Molecule: ribosomal RNA, 411 nt
Filed under: Triticum aestivum (bread wheat)
Lineage: Eukaryota; Viridiplantae; Streptophyta; Magnoliopsida; Poales; Poaceae
Description: partial small subunit ribosomal RNA
Source: RNAcentral
AUGUUGGUACAAUGUCUGAGGUUUUUGUUAACUCCCUGGUAUGUUAAGUUUUUUAAAAGUGAGUACAAUGCAGACUAUGUGCACCAAUUUAUUUUGAGGAAAAGGAUAUGUUCAAUGCUGCAACAAAGGUUGUGGUGGGAAAUGUCGAACACUCCUACUUUUGGUGCGAUAAGUGGCUCGAUGGCGUUUCUCUGGACAUCGCACCAUAUAUCAUCGGCCUGGACACCCCCUCUACUAGCGCGCAGAACGAUGGCUGAGGUGUUGCUUGAUUCUGCUUGGUUAAAAGACAUAUGGGGCCCCUUAACAUCGGCGCUUAUCUUCAAUUACUCGAGCUCUAGGAAAGACUUUGCUCUUCACCCAGAGCAUGAUGAUAGCCGGUCAUGGUCGUGGGAGGCUAGUGGUAGUUUCUAG